UACGGGCAAAUCAAGAUUACACCUGGUCUAAACGGCUCAGCAGAACCACCUAAACGGAAACGCUAGGAUGGAGGUCCAUACACGUUCAGGUGACUCCUAUGUUCGAGGGAGAUGGACACUGGAGAUUCUGAGUCUGAUUUGGGUCAUUUCCACCACAGCGAUAAUAUUCCAUACUCCUCCUGCAUCGUGUCGCAGCAUCACCGAUGCCCCUAACCGAACGCAGCCGGCUGUCGACGGAAGAGGAUUCAAGAACGUCACCGUUAUGGUGGAUUUGCAUGAGUGGGGAGUUCUGACUGGUUGUCGUCACGGUGGACAUGCGUACUGCAAGCGCUCCACGCAUUCAUCGGAGAAGAACACCCACUUCCACCUGUGCAAACAGCCACAGUUGUGCUGUCCAUUUCGUCGGCACGGCGUUCGCACAAUACCGGCUGGAUACAUGCGAGUAGGGGAGUCGACAAAAACCAACAACACGCACAGUAUAGAGGACACGGGAUAUUUUCAGGGUUUUAAUCGGACUGUGUUUGAGAGUUGCAAGUGCGUGCCGCUUCAAACGCUCAAAAUGUUUCUUUUGAAAGUUGGCACGAAGCAACAGCCGGAGAGCGGCCACAGUGGUGUCAAUGUUGACGCAAAGGAACUCCAGAGUAUACCUGCUGGCGGCUCUGUAUGGGAGAUAGCUUGGCGCAAGGUGCAAGUCGGAUUCCACUGCCAUGUACGCAAUCCGGAAUGCCUUGAGUACGAGUGCUGAAGAACCUACAGACUACUUGGACACUACCAAUUGGGAGCAGGCGCAUGAUUCUGUUAGUCUGUGAGAAAGCAUCCACGUGCAUGUACAUGUAACACAGUGGGAAAGCGCAACACCGUCACUAUGAAGAAAUAGCUCAGCUGUUUUGAGGAAAUAAUUUGAUCCGCUUGAACAAACAAUAUCUAUUACAUGUAUGUGCCUGUGUAAUGGAGUUUGCCAGUUUUGCUACUAAUAUGGAUAUUAACUGGUGUAAUAUGGCUAUUGUAGACACUUGUAUUCGUCACUUGAUUACAUGCAUCACUCUACCUGUGCAUCUACAUAUGCAUGUACAUGUAUAUGUAAACCCAUCGAGUAAUUGAUUUCUAGGAUUUCUUCGAUUUUAUUAAUUAAUUUUAUACAAAGAUCGUCGACUUCAAACAAUACAGUGUAACUGUGCGGUAACCAUGCUUUAUUACCAUGAUUACAAUAGUAACGAACAUGAGAGAGAAAUGUGAAUGUGAAAUGUACAAAUAGGAAGAAAAAAUAUUCAGAACCAUUUUCGCGUUACGAUCUUCAGUUAUGGACACGGCCUCUUCUUUUAUAUGUACAUUACCCAUUAACAUUUCUCUCCCAUAUUCGUUACUAUUGUAAUAAAGCAUGGUUAACGCAUAGUUAGUACUCUUGAUUGCCAUAUUCUCAACAUUAAAA
Long non-coding RNA from Sycon ciliatum, 1429 nucleotides. RefSeq lists it as uncharacterized. The record is from RefSeq and is a predicted model, not a curated record. The transcript has 2 exons. NCBI's taxonomy places the organism in Eukaryota, Metazoa, Porifera, Calcarea, Leucosolenida, Sycettidae.